AGUGAACGCUGGCGGUAGGCCUAACGCAUGCAAGUCGAACGGCAGCACAGUAAGAGCUUGCUCUUACGGGUGGCGAGUGGCGGACGGGUGAGGAAUACAUCGGAAUCUACUUUUUCGUGGGGGAUAACGUAGGGAAACUUACGCUAAUACCGCAUACGACCUACGGGUGAAAGCAGGGGAUCUUCGGACCUUGCGCGAUUGAAUGAGCCGAUGUCGGAUUAGCUAGUUGGCGGGGUAAAGGCCCACCAAGGCGACGAUCCGUAGCUGGUCUGAGAGGAUGAUCAGCCACACUGGAACUGAGACACGGUCCAGACUCCUACGGGAGGCAGCAGUGGGGAAUAUUGGACAAUGGGCGCAAGCCUGAUCCAGCCAUACCGCGUGGGUGAAGAAGGCCUUCGGGUUGUAAAGCCCUUUGUUGGGAAAGAAAAGCAGCAGGUUAAUACCCCGCUGUUCUGACGGUACCCAAAGAAUAAGCACCGGCUAACUUCGUG
This 491-nucleotide ribosomal RNA is filed under the name uncultured bacterium. Its description in RNAcentral is "partial 16S ribosomal RNA". It matches the Rfam family "Bacterial small subunit ribosomal RNA", at positions 29 to 507 of the family's 1533-position model. The record is from RNAcentral.